RNAcentral lists this ribosomal RNA (268 nucleotides) under uncultured bacterium. RNAcentral's name for it is "partial 16S ribosomal RNA". It matches the Rfam family "Bacterial small subunit ribosomal RNA", at positions 219 to 504 of the family's 1533-position model. The record is from RNAcentral.
UAUAGGAUGGACCCGCGUCUGAUUAGCUAGUUGGUGGGGUAAAAGCCUACCAAGGCCACGAUCAGUAGCCGACCUGAGAGGGUGAUCGGCCACAUUGGAACUGAGACACGGUCCAAACUCCUACGGGAGGCAGCAGUGGGGAAUAUUGCACAAUGGAGGAAACUCUGAUGCAGCGACGCCGCGUGAGGGAAGACGGUUUUCGGAUUGUAAAGUUCUGUCGCAGGGGAAGAUAAUGACGGUACCCUGUGAGGAAGCACCGGCUAACUAC